GUGGGGAAUCUUCCGCAAUGGACGAAAGUCUGACGGAGCAACGCCGCGUGAGUGAUGAAGGUCUUCGGAUUGUAAAGCUCUGUUAAUCGGGACGAAAGAGCCUAGUGUGAAUAAUGCUAGGAAGUGACGGUACCGGAAUAGAAAGCCACGGCUAACUACGUGCCAGCAGCCGCGGUAAUACGUAGGUGGCAAGCGUUGUCCGGAAUUAUUGGGCGUAAAGCGCGCGCAGGCGGAUCUGCCAGUCUGUCUUAAAAGUUCGGGGCUUAACCCCGUGAUGGGAUGGAAACUACAGAUCUAGAGUAUCGGAGAGGAAAGUGGAAUUCCUAGUGUAGCGGUGAAAUGCGUAGAUAUUAGGAAGAACACCAGUGGCGAAGGCGACUUUCUGGACGAAAACUGACGCUGAGGCGCGAAAGCCAGGGGAGCGAACGGGAUUAGAAACCCGAGUAGUAC
RNAcentral lists this ribosomal RNA (450 nucleotides) under uncultured bacterium. RNAcentral describes it as "partial 16S ribosomal RNA". It matches the Rfam family "Bacterial small subunit ribosomal RNA", at positions 354 to 796 of the family's 1533-position model. The record is from RNAcentral.